Molecule: ribosomal RNA, 497 nt
Filed under: uncultured bacterium
Lineage: Bacteria
Description: partial 16S ribosomal RNA
Rfam family: Bacterial small subunit ribosomal RNA
Source: RNAcentral
GAUGAACGCUGGCGGCGUGCCUAAUACAUGCAAGUCGAGCGAACAGACGAGGAGCUUUCUCCUCUGACGUUAGCGGCGGACGGGUGAGUAACACGUGGAUAACCCACCUAUAAGACUCGGAUAACUUCGGGAAACCGGAGCUAAUAUCGGAGAAUAUAUUGAACCGCAUGGUUCAAUAGAGAAAGACGGUUUUGUUGUCUCUUAUAGAUGGAUCCGCGCCGCAUUAGCUAGUUGGUAAGGUAACGGCUUACCAAGGCAACGAUGCGUAGCCGACCUGAGAGGGUGAUCGGCCACACUGGAACUGAGACACGGUCCAGACUCCUACGGGAGGCAGCAGUAGGGAAUCUUCCGCAAUGGGCGAAAGCCUGACGGAGCAACGCCGCGUGAGUGAUGAAGGUUUUCGGAUCGUAAAACUCUGUUGUUAGGGAAGAACAAGUAUGUAAGUAACUAAGCACGUCUUGACGGUACCUAAUCAGAAAGCCACGGCUAACUACGUG